Molecule: ribosomal RNA, 1371 nt
Filed under: unidentified
Description: Oreta sp. 16S ribosomal RNA
Source: RNAcentral
UUAAAAUAAAAUUAAUAAAUUUAAUAAUUAAUAAAAAAAUUUUUAAUAUAAAAUAACAUAAUUGAGGGGUUAUAGUAUAUUUUAUUGAAAAAAUUUUUUAUUUUAUAGUUUAUUAGUAUUGUAAAAGAAUUUUGAAAUAAUUUUUUAUUUAAUGGAAAAGUAAUUUUAAUUUAAUGUAUCUUGUGUAUCAGAGUUUACUAAUAAAAUAUUAUUAUUUAAAAAAUUCUCGAAUUUAAAAGAGUUAAUUAAUUAAUAAAGUUAUUGUUACAUAAAUAUUUUUAAUAAUUAAUUUGAAAUGAAAUGUUAAUCGUUUUUAAAUAUAUCUAGUUUUUUUAGAAAAAAAUUUAAUUUUUAAUUUAAAAUAAAAAUUAAUUAAUUAAUUAAUUAAUUUUUAUUUUAAAUUUAAUAAUUUAAGGGAUAAGCUUUAAAUUAAAUUUUUAUAAUUAAAAUAAAUUAUAUUUGAAAUUUUUAUAAUUUAUAUUGUUAAUAAAUUUUAAUUUAUUAUAAAUAAUUUCAUUUAAAAUAAAAUUUAAUUGAAAAUUUAAUUUUUUAUAAAAUAAAAUAAUUUUUAAUUAAUUAAAAUUAAUUAUAAUGGUGAAAUUAGUAAAUAAUAUAUGUAUAUAUAUAUAUAUAUAUAUAUAAAUAACAAAAAUAAUUAAUUUUAAAAAGUUAAUUAAAAAGAAUUCGGCAAAUAAUAUAAUUUAUAUUCACUUGUUUAUCAAAAACAUGUCUUUUUGUUAAUAAUUUAAAGUCUAAUCUGCCCACUGAUAAUAAAUUAAAGGGCUGCAGUAUUUUGACUGUACAAAGGUAGCAUAAUCAUUAGUCUCUUAAUUAGUGACUUGUAUGAAAGAUUGGAUGAGAUAUAAACUGUUUCUUAAUUAAAUAAUUGAAUUUAAUUUUUUAUUUAAAAAGUUAAAAUAAAUUAAAAAGACGAGAAGACCCUAUAGAGUUUUAUAAAAAUUUUUAUUGAAAUUAUUUAUAAAAUUAUAAAUUAAUAUAAAUAUUUUUAUUUUAUUGGGGUGAUGGAAAAAUAUAUAAAACUUUUUUUAUUUUUUAACAUGAAUAAUUGAUUUUUUGAUCCAUUUUAUUAAUGAUUAUAAGAUUAAAUUACCUUAGGGAUAACAGCGUUAUUUUUUUUUUUAGUUCAAAUAAGAAAAAAAGUUUGCGACCUCGAUGUUGGAUUAAGAUAAAAUUUAAAUGCAGAAGUUUAAAAUUUUUGAUCUGUUCGAUCAUUAAAAUCUUACAUGAUCUGAGUUCAAACCGGUGUAAGCCAGGUUGGUUUCUAUCUUUUAAAAAAUAAAAUAUUUUAGUACGAAAGGAUUAAAUAUUUAAAUUAAAUUUAAUUUAAUGAAUAUUUUUAAUUAAUUAAUA